Molecule: long non-coding RNA, 303 nt
Filed under: Medicago truncatula (barrel medic)
Lineage: Eukaryota; Viridiplantae; Streptophyta; Magnoliopsida; Fabales; Fabaceae
Description: long non-coding RNA (MTRU_LNC005445)
Source: RNAcentral
UUAUGAGUGGAGUCUGUCCAAGUUUGAUAUACAUACCUUCAAAGCAAUAAAAAAUAACAACUUUAGUCACACUAUAUACAUUGUUGUAAUCUUUUUAAUGCUGGAUUACGAUCACUUGCAGUACUCUCAAAGAAGACCCUUCUUUUGUACCAUUUUUUUUUUACUAUAUAGGAAUGAAACAUUGUACCAUGCGUGGUGUUAAUUAUUGACUGUUCACUCGACAAUUAUAAGAACGAGACAAUACAAGCACUCUUGUAAGUUUCAAUUUUGGAAACAAUUGCAUCAAACUCCACUUUUAGUUUA